This 446-nucleotide ribosomal RNA is filed under the name uncultured bacterium. RNAcentral describes it as "partial 16S ribosomal RNA". It matches the Rfam family "Bacterial small subunit ribosomal RNA", at positions 338 to 795 of the family's 1533-position model. The record is from RNAcentral.
CCUACGGGGGGCAGCAGUCGAGAAUCAUUCACAAUGGGGGAAACCCUGAUGGUGCGACGCCGCGUGGGGGAAUGAAGGUCUUCGGAUUGUAAACCCCUGUCAUGUGGGAGCAAAUUAAAAAGAUAGUACCACAAGAGGAAGAGACGGCUAACUCUGUGCCAGCAGCCGCGGUAAUACAGAGGUCUCAAGCGUUGUUCGGAAUCACUGGGCGUAAGGCGUGCGUAGGCUGUUUGGUAAGUCGUGUGUGAAAGGCGCGGGCUCAACCCGCGGACGGCACAUGAUACUGCGAGACUAGAGUAAUGGAGGGGGAAGCGGAAUUCGCGGUGUAGCAGUGAAAUGCGUAGAUAUCGAGAGGAACACUCGUGGCGAAGGCGGGUUCCUGGACAUUAACUGACGCUGAGGCACGAAGGCCAGGGGAGCGAAAGGGAUUAGAUACCCGUGUAGUC